UAUCUUUGCACCCGAAUUACAUAAUAAUCAUUAAAUAAUAUUGGAAUG
Molecule: regulatory RNA element, 48 nt
Organism: Epilithonimonas sp.
Lineage: Bacteria; Pseudomonadati; Bacteroidota; Flavobacteriia; Flavobacteriales; Weeksellaceae
Rfam family: S15-Flavobacteria ribosomal protein leader
Source: Rfam